Molecule: ribosomal RNA, 492 nt
Filed under: Goniopsis pulchra
Lineage: Eukaryota; Metazoa; Arthropoda; Malacostraca; Decapoda; Grapsidae
Description: partial 12S ribosomal RNA
Source: RNAcentral
AAUUAUUGAUAGUAAAAGGUAAAAUUAGAAUACUAUUAUAUAAAUUAAUUUUAAAUUUCAGUCGAAGCUAGAAAACGUUAGUUAAAAACUAGGAUUAGAUACCCUAUUAUUCUAAAAUGAUAGUUAUAAUACUUAAUUAGUAAUAGUUAGUUACUUAAAAAUUAAAAAAUUUGGCGGUAAUUUAAUCUAUCCAGAGGAACUUGUUUCUUAAUCGAUAAACCACGCAAAAUCUUACUUAUUUUUGUAAUUAAUCAGUUUGUAUACCAUCAUUAGCAGGUAAUUCUUUAGAAGAUAAAUUACUAGUUAAUAAUUGUUUAAAAAAAUUAGAUCAUGGUGCAGCAUAUAAAUAAGUUGAAAUGAGUUACAAUAAAUUAUUUUAAACGGAUUAAUAAAGUUAGAUUUAUUAUGAAGGAGGAUUUGGUUGUAAUUUGGGUUUAAUAAGCUCAAAUGAUAUUAGUUCUAAAUUAUGUACAUAUCGCCCGUCGCUUUCGU